RNAcentral lists this long non-coding RNA (269 nucleotides) under Mytilus galloprovincialis (Mediterranean mussel). The record is from RNAcentral. Lineage: Eukaryota; Metazoa; Mollusca; Bivalvia; Mytilida; Mytilidae.
GUCAGAUACGAUUUUACUCGGAUUUACACAUUAUUUGUCGGCGAUUUUCUGUAUAAAGCUAGCGGUUGAACAAAAUGAACAUCGCUAUCAUGAAUAAUAAUGAUGAAAAUAAGUUUUGAGAUCGUUUAUUAGGAGACUUUGGUAAAAAUGUUUGCAAAGUUAUUUUUUAUUUUCUUUCUUUCGGGCAUGUCAGGCGUAGCUAGUAACCAAGUAGAAAGUCCGACUGCAAAAGUGGAAGGUCGCAGAUCUCGGACCACUGCUAAUUUGAA